CCGUCAAUUCAUUUGAGUUUCACCCUUGCGAGCAUACUCCCCAGGCGGUGCACUUAUCGCGUUGACUUCGGCACAGAGCACCGACGUGCCCCACGCCUAGUGCACAUCGUUUACAGCGUGGACUACCAGGGUAUCUAAUCCUGUUUGCUCCCCACGCUUUCGCGCCUCAGCGUCAGUCCUCGAAUAGAAGCUCGCCUUCGCCACCGGUGUUCUUCCUGAUCUCUACAGAUUUCACUCCUACACCAGGAAUUCCAGCUUCCCCCCCGGAACUCUAGCCCGUCAGUUUCCAGCGCACCCGCAGGGUUAAGCCCUGCGAUUUCACACCAGACUUCUCGGGCCGCCUACACGCCCUUUACGCCCAAUAACUCCGAACAACGCUCGCCCCAUACGUAUUACCGCGGCUGCUGGCACGUAAUUGGCCGGGGCUUAUUCGCAGGCUAACGUCAUCAGCGGGGCUUUCCACUCCCCACCUUAUUCUUCACCUGCAAAAGGACUUUACAACCUUACGGCCUUCAUCGUCCACGCGGCGUCGCUCCGUCAGGGUUGCCCCCAUUGCGGAAGAUUCUUAGCUGCUGCCUCCCGUAGGAGU
RNAcentral lists this ribosomal RNA (589 nucleotides) under uncultured bacterium. RNAcentral's name for it is "partial 16S ribosomal RNA". The record is from RNAcentral.